Molecule: ribosomal RNA, 460 nt
Filed under: uncultured bacterium
Lineage: Bacteria
Description: partial 16S ribosomal RNA
Rfam family: Bacterial small subunit ribosomal RNA
Source: RNAcentral
CCUACGGGUGCCAGCAGUGAGGAAUAUUGGUCAAUGGACGAGAGUCUGAACCAGCCAAGUAGCGUGAAGGAUGACUGCCCUAUGGGUUGUAAACUUCUUUUAUCAAGGAAUAAAACGAGGCACGUGUGCCUUUUUGCAUGUACUUUAUGAAUAAGGAUCGGCUAACUCCGUGCCAGCAGCCGCGGUAAUACGGAGGAUCCGAGCGUUAUCCGGAUUUAUUGGGUUUAAAGGGAGCGUAGAUGGUUUGUUAAGUCAGUUGUGAAAGUUUGCGGCUCAACCGUAAAAUUGCAAUUGAUACUGGAAGUCUUGAGUACAGUUGAGGUAGGCGGAAUUCGUGGUGUAGCGGUGAAAUGCUUAGAUAUCACGAAGAACCCCGAUUGCGAAGGCAGCUUACUAAACUGUGACUGACAUUGAUGCUCGAAAGUGUGGGUAUCAAACAGGAUUAGAUACCCUGGUAGUC